This 466-nucleotide ribosomal RNA is filed under the name Staphylococcus aureus. RNAcentral describes it as "bacterial SSU rRNA". It matches the Rfam family "Bacterial small subunit ribosomal RNA", at positions 24 to 472 of the family's 1533-position model. The record is from RNAcentral. Lineage: Bacteria; Bacillati; Bacillota; Bacilli; Caryophanales; Staphylococcaceae.
UCAGGAUGAACGCUGGCGGCGUGCCUAAUACAUGCAAGUCGAGCGAACGGACGAGAAGCUUGCUUCUCUGAUGUUAGCGGCGGACGGGUGAGUAACACGUGGAUAACCUACCUAUAAGACUGGGAUAACUUCGGGAAACCGGAGCUAAUACCGGAUAAUAUUUUGAACCGCAUGGUUCAAAAGUGAAAGACGGUCUUGCUGUCACUUAUAGAUGGAUCCGCGCUGCAUUAGCUAGUUGGUAAGGUAACGGCUUACCAAGGCAACGAUGCAUAGCCGACCUGAGAGGGUGAUCGGCCACACUGGAACUGAGACACGGUCCAGACUCCUACGGGAGGCAGCAGUAGGGAAUCUUCCGCAAUGGGCGAAAGCCUGACGGAGCAACGCCGCGUGAGUGAUGAAGGUCUUCGGAUCGUAAAACUCUGUUAUUAGGGAAGAACAUAUGUGUAAGUAACUGUGCACAUCUUGA